RNAcentral lists this ribosomal RNA (295 nucleotides) under uncultured bacterium. Its description in RNAcentral is "partial 16S ribosomal RNA". It matches the Rfam family "Bacterial small subunit ribosomal RNA", at positions 332 to 645 of the family's 1533-position model. The record is from RNAcentral.
CUUGCCCUACGGGAGGCAGCAGUGGGGAAUAUUGCACAAUGGGGGAAACCCUGAUGCAGCGACGCCGCGUGAGUGAAGAAGUAUUUCGGUACGUAAAGCUCUAUCAGCAGGGAAGAAAAUGACGGUACCUGACUAAGAAGCCCCGGCUAACUACGUGCCAGCAGCCGCGGUAAUACGUAGGGGGCAAGCGUUAUCCGGAUUUACUGGGUGUAAAGGGAGCGUAGACGGCAGCGCAAGUCUGAAGUGAAAUCCCAUGGCUUAACCAUGGAACUGCUUUGGAACCUGUGCAGCUGGA